CUUCCAACCAUGUCGUCUCUUAAACCCUUUAUGUCACAAUAACUGUAUUCUUAGAAUGUGAUCUCAUUCGGUGUUGGCUGCCUGUCUUCCACACACCACCACACUGAGAGAAUAGGUGAGAGGCUUGGGGAGAGAGGAGAGCAGAAGAACAGUCCAAUUUGUUCAAGGAAGUCAUCUCAGAAGAGCAUGACAUUACCACAAUGAUCAAAGGCUCAAGCAAAUAUUGGUCCAAAGCCCUUGGAUAGAUAAAUACAGCCACAGCCAGAGGCUGCCAGACAUGUAGCAUGGAUGGAGCUUACAGAAUGGAUGAGUGACUGUGCGAGGGGCCAGUAGCCAGAGGAAAUGUCACAGCGAAAGGAAGAUGACUGGGAAGGAGUGGAUGACUAGGAAGUGCUUUCCUUAAGAAACAGGCAAGGCUCUCAAGACUGGACAUGGAAGCCAAGGAGCAGUGGAGCUUAAUUCCCUUCCUUCUUGGCUCUAGUGACGCUCUUCUCAUGAACUGAAUGAAGCUUAAGUGAUAGCGUGUUUUAGGAAUAUUCUCCUUAAACAUAUUUACCCAGUCUCCCGUACCUCCCACCGCCCCAACCUCCAACGACUCCGCCUGACACGGCAUCACCGCCACCUCUCAGCCUUCCAGUGUGCUUGCUGUCUUCCCUAUUCUGAGACACGUGUAAAACCCGGAGAAAUGAAGUGACUCCCCAAGACACGAGAAGAUGGACCAAAACCAUAAAGUGAGAACAGAUGUUUUAAUGGGGAAGUGAAGAACAGGGUGAAGAAAAAGGGAAUGUUAUUGGUGACUACCACAAUCAAGAUAUAGAACACUUGCAACAUUGCAGAAGAUUCUGCGUGCUCCUCUCCAGCUAGUCCCUCUGCUGUCCUCUGACUCCAGGCAACCAGUGAUUUGUCUAUCGCUGUAGAUUCAAUUUGCCUUUCUUCGAGUUUCAAAUAAAUGAAUCAAAAGUGUCCAGCCAAUUUCCCAAGGGCGGGAAUGGCCUAUUUGACCCCAUCAAAAGGACCUGUGGCUAGCCAGUAUUUUCAUCUGGCUCAUGCUGUUUCUUCAAUUUAUCGAGGUCACUUUGAAUUCUGAUCUUUUCUUCUGAAGUGUUAGCAACCCCUUCUAACUUGGUGUCAUCUGAAAAAUACUACCUGUAUGAAAUGUGUGACUGAGUUAAGCUAGGAGUGUCAUGUUGGACAUUUUCUUAAACUAGAGCACAGCUGGAAAUUAUUACACAACCAAAGCAUACUCCAUUUCAGUUUUAUCAGACCAGCCUUGUCCACAUUUGACUGAUUUUUUUUCUCUUAUCAUCCAUUACCAAUCACUCAGCGUCUUCAGUAAAUAGAAAAUAAGAUGCAUGAUGGAGCCUCAUGACAAUUAGAGGACAAGAAAGAGGAAAGACCUGUAAUUGAGAGGGCUUUUUGAUACAACAACAUUUCAAGAAGGAGCUUCUGCUACUUUUCACACUGAUCUUCUGACUGAUGAACUUUGUGUGGCCCAAUAAAGCCAAACUACUUGCCGAGGAGCAUAAGGUUGAUUCAAAUCAGCAUCAGAAUCCACAAUCCUCUCUCACUCUGGGACCAUUCCUUAGUGGCUGAGCCCCCACAGGAACUUCUUGAAUAUAAGUAUUUUCAUCCUAUUAACUCGUUAGAAUAGCUUUAAAUGCUUCCAGAGAACUGCUAUGAUUCUAUUCUAUUCUGACCCAACCUAAUUACUGUUUUGUUCCUUUGCAGUUUGAAUUGACUUGUUUUUUGCUCAGCUCUCCUUCUUCUUUACUUACUACGUAAUGUUGAUGAUUAACCUGAAGAUGAUAGUAUGUUUGUAAAAUGUUGGGAAAGCUGGCAAGAUUUCAAAUAUUCAAGUAUCAUGAAAAAAAGGAGAGAGAGAAUUCUUUCAUUUAUACGUUCUUUUGAAAGCAGACACACACAUCAACUGCUGAAUGCCUGAGGCGUCCGCAACUCAAGAGUGGAAGAGAUUUCAAGAAGCAGACAAGUCUGUGUGCACCUGUGCCAGCCAGCAAUCAGUCUCCCGUCACCCUGCCCUCCCCUCUAUGAGUGUGUUUAUAGGCAUGUGUGUGCGUACACACACAAGACACACACACAGAGGCAAAUACACAUAUUAUACAGAGAAAAUGUUCCUAAGUAUGCAUAAACUAAAUUUUUUCAACUCCAUUAUUCAUAUUUCAAUAUCUGUGAUAUUUGGAUAGGUUAAGCAAUGUGCACAUUUAUUUUUAUUUAUUUAUUUAUUUAUUUAGAGGAAGAGUAGCCCUGAGCUAACAGCUGCCAAUCCUCCUCUUUUUGCUGAGGAAGACUGGCCCUGAGCUCACAUCUGUGCCCAUCUCCCUCUACUUUAUAUUUGGAACGCCUACCACAGCAUGGCUUGCCAAGUGGUGCCAUGUCAGCACCUGGGAUCCGAACCAGCGAACCCUGGGCCACCGAAGCGGA
Long non-coding RNA from Equus caballus (horse), 2439 nucleotides. NCBI's taxonomy places the organism in Eukaryota, Metazoa, Chordata, Mammalia, Perissodactyla, Equidae. The record is from Ensembl.